AGUAAGAGGAAAAUCCGUCGACUUUUAAGAUCGUGAGGGUUCAAAUCCCUC
This 51-nucleotide transfer RNA is filed under the name Restio muirii. RNAcentral's name for it is "partial tRNA-Leu". The record is from RNAcentral. Lineage: Eukaryota; Viridiplantae; Streptophyta; Magnoliopsida; Poales; Restionaceae.